This 154-nucleotide small nucleolar RNA is filed under the name Cebus imitator (Panamanian white-faced capuchin). Lineage: Eukaryota; Metazoa; Chordata; Mammalia; Primates; Cebidae. The record is from RNAcentral.
UCUGCGCAUUGUUAGAGCUUGGAGUUGAGGCUACCGACUGGCUGAUGAACUCGCAAGUGUAGGUAGCGUGCCUGAUGAGAGGCAAGUUUUUCGCUAACACCGUAGGGUUCUCUGGCCCGAUGAGUGGAGUUUGAUAGUAAUUCUUGCUACAGUA